This 197-nucleotide ribosomal RNA is filed under the name uncultured bacterium. RNAcentral describes it as "partial 16S ribosomal RNA". It matches the Rfam family "Bacterial small subunit ribosomal RNA", at positions 328 to 539 of the family's 1533-position model. The record is from RNAcentral.
ACGCUCGACACCUACGGGAGCAGCAGUGGGGAAUAUUGCACAAUGGGGGAAACCCUGAUGCAGCGACGCCGCGUGGAGGAAGAAGGUCUUCGGAUUGUAAACUCCUGUUGUUGGGGAAAAAGAGGAUGGUACCCAACAAGGAAGUGACGGCUAACUACGUGCUAGCAGCCGCGGUAAUCUGAGCGGGCUGGCAAGGC